UGCAAUCCUGCGUGCCUUAUAAGCCUUUUUUAGGUUCUCUUCUUCUCCGGUGUUUCUGUAUCUCGGUUCCUUCUCUGAGUUGUCUCUGUUGCCUAUAAGUUUGGAUUUUGUGUUAUUUUGUUGUCUGUCCAUCCUGUUCAUCUGUCUUUGCGUCGUAAGCUCUUCUCAUCACGUGAUAGUCAUCGGUGUUGUUUUGCUUUGGAUUUUGAGUAAGUAGCUGUUUGUUGUAAGAUGAGUUUCGAUUUAAUGAGAUUUGUAACCUAAUGCUUCGAUUGUUGGUUGUUUUGAAGUUUUUGUCAAGGAGCUGGUACUACCCGAUCAACAAAGCAAGUUUACAUGCAAAGAAUGGGUAACUGAAAUCACUCUAAAUCGUAAAUGGUUUCGUUUGUGAGGAUGAUGGCUGUGUUCCUUGCCCUGUUUUCAUGUACAAUGGUACAAAUGUUGGAUAAAUCAUGCUAUGACAUGGUGGUCAAGGACGGACAUACGAUCCAGAAAUCAUGCCUAUAGAAAUCUUUAAUAUUCUCGAAGAAUUACACCUAUUGAUAUGUCCAUAAGAGAACGGGGAACAUGGCUAUGAACAAAGCUGCCUAUAAUCCCAGCGACCCCAGAUCCUAAAACAGGGACAUCAAAAAAAAGAAUGCAAUGAUCACCAGAUAAUGAAACAACAGGAAGGCAAGCAAAACAGUAAAAGGAUACUGGGCAAGGCAAUUUUUUGGGUGGCCGAAACAACUCCAGAUGCAUCUAACAAGACGGGCAUUUUCCAGUUAUAAAUUCCAGCCUACAAGUAGAAUACGACAUGGUUAGCCUCCAUAGGCAGCAUAUCAUAUGCCAUUUUAGCAACGUGCAGGUCAACUGGGACGAAUUACAAAGGUUGUAACUUUUGUAUUAAAAAAACAUGACAGGGACACUAAUGUUAUGAGAAUAUAACCAAAGUAUUUAAUCUAUAGUUUGCAAUAUAAAGCAACCAACUUUGCUUCACGAAACAUAGUGAACACCUAAUACGUCAGGUUAUUCAUAUGAUGUUUGCAAUAUACCUAUACCCGUUCCAUUCAAUGUUUGUGACAUACCCGCGCCGCAACGCGCGCGGGUCUAACCACUAGUG
This 1102-nucleotide long non-coding RNA is filed under the name Helianthus annuus (common sunflower). The record is from RNAcentral. Lineage: Eukaryota; Viridiplantae; Streptophyta; Magnoliopsida; Asterales; Asteraceae.